AGAUUGAACGCUGGCGGCAGGCCUAACACAUGCAAGUCGAGCGGCAGCACGGGUACUUGUACCUGGUGGCGAGCGGCGGACGGGUGAGUAAUGCCUAGGAAUCUGCCUGGUAGUGGGGGGAUAACGCUCGGAAACGGACGCUAAUACCGCAUACGUCCCACGGGAGAAAGCAGGGGACCUUCGGGCCUUGCGCUAUCGAGAUGAGCCGUAGGUCGGAUUAGCUAGUUGGUGAGGUAAUGGCUCACCGAAGGCGACGACUCCGUAACUGGUCUAGAGAGGAUGAUCAGUCACACUGGAACUGACGACACGGGUCCAGGACCUCCGUACGGGAGGCAGCAGGUGGGAAUAUUGGACGAAGUGGGACGAAAGUCCUGAUCCCGAG
This 382-nucleotide ribosomal RNA is filed under the name uncultured soil bacterium. RNAcentral describes it as "bacterial SSU rRNA". It matches the Rfam family "Bacterial small subunit ribosomal RNA", at positions 26 to 391 of the family's 1533-position model. The record is from RNAcentral.